ACGGGUGAGUAACGCGUAUGCAACCUACCUACAACGAGGGAACUAACCGUGAAAACGGACUAAUACCCCAUAAAACAGGGAUCCCGCAUGGGAAUAUUUGUUAAAGAUUUAUCGGUUGUAGAUGGGCAUGCGUUCCAUUAGCUAGUUGGUGAGGUAACGGCUCACCAAGGCAACGAUGGAUAGGGGAACUGAGAGGUUUAUCCCCCACACUGGUACUGAGACACGGACCAGACUCCUACGGGAGGCAGCAGUGAGGAAUAUUGGUCAAUGGGCGCAAGCCUGAACCAAGCCACGUCGCGUGAAGGAAGACCGGCCCUACGGGUUGUAAACUUCUUUUGUAAGGGAAUAAAGUGUAGUACGUGUACUAUUUUGCAUGUACCUUACGAAUAAGGAUCGGCUAACUCCGUGCCAGCCGCUGC
This 419-nucleotide ribosomal RNA is filed under the name uncultured bacterium. RNAcentral describes it as "bacterial SSU rRNA". It matches the Rfam family "Bacterial small subunit ribosomal RNA", at positions 102 to 518 of the family's 1533-position model. The record is from RNAcentral.